RNAcentral lists this transfer RNA (77 nucleotides) under Pseudomonadota bacterium. RNAcentral describes it as "tRNA-Asp". It matches the Rfam family "tRNA". From Rfam's summary of the family: Transfer RNA (tRNA) molecules are approximately 80 nucleotides in length. RNAcentral also lists the same sequence under 1 other name. Lineage: Bacteria; Pseudomonadati; Pseudomonadota. The record is from RNAcentral.
GGGGGUGUAGCUCAGUCGGUUAGAGCGCCUGCCUGUCACGCAGGAGGCCGCGAGUUCGAGUCUCGUCAUCCCCGCCA